Long non-coding RNA from Eriocheir sinensis (Chinese mitten crab), 1321 nucleotides. RefSeq lists it as uncharacterized. NCBI's taxonomy places the organism in Eukaryota, Metazoa, Arthropoda, Malacostraca, Decapoda, Varunidae. The record is from RefSeq and is a predicted model, not a curated record. The transcript is spliced from 4 exons.
CCCGGGCAGGUGGAGGUCGUUAGCCGUGGUAGGCAAUCUGCCUAGGAGAGCAAACUCUAUACAAACCCGGGCAGGUGAGGCUCGUUAGCCGUGGUAGGCAAUUCACCUAGGAGAGCAAACUCUAUACAAACCCGGGCAGGUGGAGGUCGUUAGCCGUGGGAGGCAAUUCACCUAGGAGAGCAAACUCUAUACAAACCCGGGCAGGUGGAGGUCGUUAGCCGUGGUAGGCAAUUCACCUAGGAGAGCAAACUCCGAACAAUAAACCCGGGCAGGUGGAGGUCGUUAGCCGUGGGAGGCAAUUCACCUAGGAGAGCAAACUCUAAACAAACCCGGGCAGGUGAGGCUCGUUAGCCGUGGUAGGCAGUUCACCUAGGAGAGCAAACUCCGAACAACAAACCCGGGCAGGUGGAGGUCGUCAGCCGUGGUAGGCAAUCUUCCUAGGAGAGCAAACUCCGAACAACAAACCCGGGCAGGUGGAGCUCGUCAGCCGUGGUAGGCAGUCUGCCUAGGAGAGCAAACUCCGAACAAUAAACCCGGGCAGGUGGAGGUCGUCAGCCGUGGUAGGCAAUCUUCCUAGGAGAGCAAACUCCGAACAAUAAACCCGGGCAGGUGGAGCUCGUCAGCCGUGGUAGGCAGUCUGCCUAGGAGAGCAAACUCUAAACAAACCCGGGCAGGUGGAGGUCGUCAGCCGUGGUAGGCAAUCUGCCUAGGAGAGCAAACUCUAAAUAAACCCGGGCUUGUGGUGCUCGUUAUACUGUCGUAGACAAUCCACGCGAUGGGAACACCAAAGAAAAGGAAAAUAAAAAAGAACACCAGAAAAUGGAAAAUACAGAAACGAAACAUCAAGAAAAGAAACAAAAAGAUCAUCCACCUUUAGGCCCUAACAUCGCCAAAAUUAUGGAUGGGUCUCUUCUGGGGAGAAAGCGGCUCACCCAGACCAAAGAACAUCAACAAGGGAUGAUAUAGAAAAGAACACCAAAAAAAUAUGGAAAAAGAACAGAAAAAACAUCGAAAAAGAAAAGCAACAGAAAUAAAUGAGCAACAUCGAGAAAAGAGAAAUACAAAGAAACAUCAUCCACCUUUCGGCCCCAAACAACAUCACCAAAAUUAUGGAUGGGUCUCUUCUGGGAGGAAAGCGGCUCAUCCAGACCAAGGAACAUCAACAAAAGGAUGAUGGGAAAAAAAUAACAACAAAAAACAUCAAAAAGAAGUAAAAAGAAAAAGAACAGGAAAACAUCGAAAAAGAAAACAAAAGCAAUAAAAAGAACGAAAAACACGACAUCAAGAAAAUAAAAUAAAACAAACAUCAUCCACCUUUCGG